CUUUUCUUUUGUAAUCUCUGUCUCCACUCCUCCCUUCUCUCACCAUCCAUCGGUACCUGUCAUCUAUUGUUGUCGUGGUAAUGGUGGUGGGGGUGGUGUUGUCGGGAACGGAGGAGAUUCUGGAGGAGGAUAGGGGUGGGGUUGAAGGAUAAAGUAGAACGUGCUAGGAAUCAGAACAUGAGGGAUUAGAGGAGGGGAAGAAUGGGUUUAAUCGUUAGAGAAGAGGAAGAAUGAGUUCUAUGAUUUUAUCUGAUGAGUUCAAGAAUCGUUCAAUGGUUUUCUCUUUGAGCUUUUGUCAGGGAAUCCUCGUCCCCGUUCCGAAGUGGAAGAAGACUAGAAGAGUAUUGAUAAAAACCUUCCUUCCUUCCGAGGGUCUGUUUGUACUGGUUUCCCGGUGACAGGAGCGUGACUUGCAGCCUCCAAUCAUCAGAUGUUCUCUGUAUGUCUCUAUCCUCUGUCUAGUUUCUGUUCAUUGAUUCAUUCGACUUUUGGGAUUGCAAUUCUUUUAUUGUUUCCAUAUUUGGGGUUUUGAAUUUUUGGGUAGCUGACCCUGCGUGAGGAUUUCACUUAUUUGAUUCAAUCCGAUCAUACUUCAAUGCAAUAGAACAAACAAUAUGUUCCCUUUGGCUUGUAAGAGUGCCAUGUUAGACUUCAUUAUACCUCAUAGUGGUGAUGCCUGAAGGUUAGGACUUGUUAGGAAGGUAGGAAGGAAAAAGGAAAAGAGAAAAAAAGAAAGAAGAGAAUUUAUACCCAUUUACCUAAAUGAGUCUUAUUUUUUUUUUCUUACUGGUAGACAUCAUACAAUAUUUGAAAUAUCAAAUUUAACUAGUACUGCUCUUUCAAAGGGAAGUAUGUAGAGUCUGAAUCUUUGAUGAAGUUCGCUUGAAAUUCAGAUGUGAACUGGGAUUUUGUGGAUGUUACUUUCUGCUUGGCUGUUGGUACUUCCAUAAGUGCCUGAAUGAAUUUGAAUCUUAAAUUUUUAUCUGUAUAAGAUGUUUGAUGAGGCAAGGUAUUUUUUUGGGUGGUAAAGAGAUUGUUAUGCAAGGUAAUUGUUGUGGUGGUUAAGGUAUUCUUAUGGAAGGAAGGUUGAGGGCAGCUUAGGCAGUGAUUCUUCUAUCGCAAGACUGUUUCCUUGGUGGAGUACACAACAUGUGUUAUAUACAUCCCUAGGGAUGUCGAUUUGUUAGUAUUUUGAUCAAAAUUUUGAUAAAGGCUUGAGACCCGAUUGAAUAAAAGAUGAAACAAAGACAUGUUGGAUUUUGUUGUUUCCUCCACCAAUGAAACAACAAAAUUCAACACAUCUUUGUUUCAUAUUUUCUCCAACCAGGUCUCAUGCCUUUAUCAAUUUUUUGAUCAAAAUACUAAUAAUCUCUACCUUGAUCAAAAAAUUCCAUAGCUUUCGCUAUAAACACUGUAUUCACCAACAGUCACAACUCUUAACAAAGAAAAUCAUCAUACUGAAUCAUAAAGAGUACACCUACUUAUAAGUCACCAUUCUAAGAAUUUUCCUUUAGCUCAUGUCGAAAAAACUUGUUGAGAAAUUAUGGUGCAAAUGCAAUCCCUAUGUUUGGCUUUCCCGAGAGUUCAUUAGCCCUCGGCAUACUUUUCCAUCACACACAUGCAUCAAUGUCAAACCAAUGCCUGUGUGCAAACUUGUGAAUCCGCUAGCUGUAACACUUCCUCUUUCAUGACAUCUAACGGCAUGCCAUGAGGAUGUACAUGCCCUUCAGAGGACAUCACUUGCGUUUUCCUCCAAAAAUGCAAUGUUAGCUUCACCAGAGCUACUUGCCAAAUCAGCUCCACCUUUCGGACAAUUCCUCUUGUGAUGCCCAGAUUUCUCACCCUUCCAGCACACCAACUUUGCUUCAUGUACUUAUUCUUCCUAUUUUUAGCUACGAACUCUGAGUUCUCCAGUGGACCAUUAUUCCCAUUGUAACUUCAGCAAAAAUUAUUUUCUCCUUCCCAUGAAUUAAUAAAGACUUCAUGUGCUCAUAGGAAGAUGGAAGAGACCAUAUAAGCCUCAAGGCUAUAUCUUCAUCAUCCAUCUUAAUCAAGGAUGGAGCCCCCUCUAGAUUUUGACAAAAAAUUUACUACACAUACAUAUAUGUUUACAUAUUUGACAAAAAAUUGCUGAGUGAUCUACUGGUUAUAAACUUGUUAAUUUCAACACCCAAGGUAGCAUGCCUCUAUUUUUUGUGCUUCUUUUUUUUUUUAUUUCUUUAUUUUGUCUAUUUUAUCUCUUUAUUUUGGUGUCAAUAAUUGGUGCUGUUCCUAUUGGCUAUUUUUGUCUCCUCAUUUUUUUAUUUUGCCUAUUUUAGCCUUUUAAGUUAACUAUUUCUCUCAAGUAUAUCAAGAAUUGUGUUGUUCCUUAUUCAAUAAUUAACAAAGUUAUGUUAAUCUUUUUUGGCUAUGUUCCCUAUUUAAUUUAUUUAUGUAAAAGACUAAAUCUAAUUUUUUUGUUUAUUUCAUUCAAGUUAUGCUAUUUAGAAAAGCUAAUUAUAGUUAAAACUAGUGAUUGUAAAAAAUAUUUUUAAUUUUGUUGGUUAUUAGUGGAAAAUAACAAACAACAUAUAAAUAGCCAAAAAAAAAAAUAGUGCAAAUCCUGGCUUCACCCUUGAUCUUAAUUCCAACAACCGCCAGUUCUGAGACGAUCCCAUUGAGAACACUCAGAUGAUCUUAAAUUGUUGUACCUUCACGCAUACGCAGUGUAUGAAACAUACGACUUGAAAUGCCUUAUGAUUGGUACAAUUCUUCAAUCUUUUCCCAAAUCGCCUUGGCCGUAGAUAUUCCAUGCACGUUCGCCGGAAUAUUCUUGGCCAAACACGGUCGAAUUGCACUAGCAGCUUUUAAAUGAAGUUCUUCCCAAUCUUCAUCGCUGAACUAUCCUGAAUCUUACAUGAAAAUCGAGUGGUUUCUCCUUUAACGCCUUGUGUAACUGUAACCCAUCUUGAAUUAACACAUUUUUGACUUGCACUUGCCACAUGCAAAACUUGAUUCUCUCAUCAAACUUCUCGAUGUCGAUUUUAACAGUUGACAUAUCUUCUCCAAGGAACCUUGCUCCGAUAUAAAUUGUUGAGAAAUUUAACCAAGAUCCUCCUUAAUAGAAAUAUCAAACAAACAAUAGAGAAAUUGAACUGGAAAAUAAAACCAAUCUCAAUUUCUCUAUGGUUCGUUUGGUAUUUCUGUUUGGUUAAAUUUCCCAACACGAUUUUGCUCCAGCACUUCACAUACUCGGUCAACGUGGAUAUGCUGUAGUCCUUGUUAUCCCUUCCGGGGUAGGUGUGAAUGUGAUCAGCUCUUAGCAGUUAGCAGUGUUGGUAAGUUUGUCUGGAACUGGCCUAGUAUGGCUCGUGGGGAAGGUUUUGUUCCGCCAGGCGCCAACUAAACCUUUAUUUCCCCCUCGUUAUGACCCAUUUGACAUUGCUGGUUCUCUCAUGGGUUGCCAUAUGAGUGGCAAUUUUGAUGAUCAAAACGAAGAGGAGACAAUUGUGUAUGGAGGAAUCUCCCAAAGUUAUUGCAACACCAGAGAUUUCUCUAUUGUGCCAUGGUCGCUUUCUGAAUACAAUAGCAGUUCUUCAAUUUCCAUGCCUUGUUUUCCCUCAACUUUGAGGUCACAAAGCCUCCCUUCUGGUUUGAAUGAAGAGGCUGCAGGCCCUGUUUCUUCUGUUAAACAAGUAUGUGGGUACAGCCAGGGGACAUAGAUGGUCUGAAGAUGCGGCUGGUAAAGUUGCUUGAGCUUUUUGGAGGACAUAUGCCUCUUACCCAUGUGCCUUCUGAAUACCAGAAAAUUUUUGGGCGGCCUCUUUAUGUAUCAGAGUAUGGGGUGUUCAAGCUCGUAAAUCUUUUCAAUAAAAUGAGUGACGCCAUGGCAAUAGAUGGAAAGGCCCAAAAGAAAUUUGUCUACCUCCGCAACAGGAAGGCAGGCCCAAGUGCACCCCCUGUACCUUUGGCCAGUAAGGUUAAAAGGGAGAAUGGGUCUCAGGAAGAGUGUAUUGAUGUAGUUAUAGGUAAUGGUUUCUCAGAUGAGUUUUCAGAUGAGGAAAAAGCAAUGAUUGAGGAACAUGAUGAGAUGAGGAACGAAGGAAGUUUUAACAUGCGUGCAGCAGCUUGGUCGAAGAUUGAUGACUAUGAUCUUGGGCAAUUCCAUCUUGAGCUGCAAGAAAUUCUCGUUAGCUACUAAUGUAGGAUUUUUUUGGGCUGUUUUGAGGCGAUAUAAUUGCAACAAUACAAGAAGCUAUUGAAUUAUCAAAAGUUUGGUGUGGAUCAGCUGGAGAAGCUGUUUGAGAAGGUGAGAGAUGUGGUGGUGUUGCAUGAAGAGCCAGUAACCAAGAGGAAGUUCCUGGUAGCAGUUGGCAGCUGCUGCGUCUUGUAACCUUAUAACUCUUUUGACUAAUAUAUAGAUCGGACAUAUGAGUUGAGAAGUUAGAAAUGUAAAACAUCUUCAAACAAUUUGGGAAAGCUGAACUUCAUGUUAGCAGAUUAAAGAGCAUAUGCAGAAACCCAUAGUUUCUGAUUAGACAUCUCAAGUAAGAGGUAGAGACUUAAAGCUUAUCACUGAGAAUGGAGUUAGAGGUUUAAUGCCUGAUAUGUAUGACUUCCUCAAUAACGUCUGGUUAUGGCAUUCUUUUGGAGGCCAGCCAAUGCUUCGACUCUACAGCUUUUUAAGCUGCCAUUAAUGUUCUGAGAGGGAUUCAACAAUUAUUCCAAGCAAAACCCUACUGAAAUUGUCAUUAUUAUCAUUGAAGACUGUCUCCUCCCUGAAGGGACUCACCAAAGUGUUUGAUGCUGCUGGCCCAAGGAAAUGCUGGUUUCCAGAAGCCGUAUAUUAUGCUACGAAGUGUCAAAUGCAAGGCGAAUACGAUUUGUGGAGUCUGAGCCUCUGAGGUAAUGUAGCUUAGCCUUAGGCUGGUGUUGCCCCUGCACCUGGAUCAAGAGACCAUGAUAUCAACUUUGCUUACUUGGUCAGGAGACCAGUUCAACUAUGGCGGUUGGUUGGGAUGGUUGUAGCAGUACUUUUCAUGCGACUGUUAUUUCAUCAUAUAAGGUGUGGUUCUCUUCUUUCUGGCUUUGUGCACUAUUACUUCACAAAAUGAUGGGACUUUUCUAACCAAGUAUAUUGACAGAUUAGAGUAGAAUUUGAAUGUAUUCAUGUGAUUUACAAUGCAGUAAAGCAUAAUAGCUUUUCAGUCUACCCUUUGUGUGCUUGGAUUCACGUGAUUUAUAACACAAGAAAGUAGUGGAUCCUGUAUGGAACAGAUCCAGUGUCUUCUCUUCUUAUUGUUCUUGUAAGCUAUUGCGAUAGCUUAGUUGGUUGUUUUUCCGAACUUAGGAUUUCGUGGGCAUGUCUCACUUUCGGAUCUCUAUAUAUAUGGGUUUCAACUCAA
Molecule: long non-coding RNA, 5384 nt
Organism: Tripterygium wilfordii
Lineage: Eukaryota; Viridiplantae; Streptophyta; Magnoliopsida; Celastrales; Celastraceae
Exons: 6
Source: RefSeq, a predicted model, not a curated record